Molecule: ribosomal RNA, 468 nt
Filed under: uncultured bacterium
Lineage: Bacteria
Description: partial 16S ribosomal RNA
Rfam family: Bacterial small subunit ribosomal RNA
Source: RNAcentral
GACGAACGCUGGCGGCGUGCUUAACACAUGCAAGUCGAACGGAAAGGCCCUGCUUUUGUGGGGUGCUCGAGUGGCGAACGGGUGAGUAACACGUGAGUAACCUGCCCUUGACUUUGGGAUAACUUCAGGAAACUGGGGCUAAUACCGGAUAGGAGCUCCUGCUGCAUGGUGGGGGUUGGAAAGUUUCGGCGGUUGGGGAUGGACUCGCGGCUUAUUAGCUUGUUGGUGGGGUAGUGGCUUACCAAGGCUUUGACGGGUAGCCGGCCUGAGAGGGUGACCGGCCACAUUGGGACUGAGAUACGGCCCAGACUCCUACGGGAGGCAGCAGUGGGGAAUAUUGCACGAUGGGCGGAAGCCUGAUGCAGCAACGCCGCGUGCGGGAUGACGGCCUUCGGGUUGUAAACCGCUUUCGCCUGUGACGAAGCGUGAGUGACGGUAAUGGGUAAAGAAGCACCGGCUAACUACGUG